This 301-nucleotide ribosomal RNA is filed under the name uncultured bacterium. RNAcentral describes it as "partial 16S ribosomal RNA". It matches the Rfam family "Bacterial small subunit ribosomal RNA", at positions 509 to 807 of the family's 1533-position model. The record is from RNAcentral.
CAGUCGCCACGGUAAUACAGAGGGUGCAAGCGUUAAUCGGAAUUACUGGGCGUAAAGCGCGCGUAGGUGGUUUGUUAAGUUGGAUGUGAAAUCCCCGGGCUCAACCUGGGAACUGCAUCCAAAACUGGCAAGCUAGAGUAUGGUAGAGGGUGGUGGAAUUUCCUGUGUAGCGGUGAAAUGCGUAGAUAUAGGAAGGAACACCAGUGGCGAAGGCGACCACCUGGACUGAUACUGACACUGAGGUGCGAAAGCGUGGGGAGCAAACAGGAUUAGAGACCCCCGUAGUCCCUGUCUCUUAUAC